AAUUUUGGACAAGGGGCGCAAGCCUGAUCCAGCCAUGCCGUGAGAGUUAAGAAGGCANNNGGGUUNUCAAGCAAUUUCGUACGNAACNAAAGCGCGCAGGCUCAUACCCUGAGCGGAUGACGGUACCGUCAUAAGAAGCACUGGCUAACAACGUAACAUCAGCCGCGGUAAUACGUAGGGUGCGAGCGUCUACCGGAAUUACUGGGCGUAAAGCGUGCGCAGGCGGUUGAUUAAGACAUGCGUGAAAUCCCCGGGCUUAACCUGGGAACUGCGCUUGUGACUGGUCAGCGAGAGUACGGCAGAGGGGGGUGGAAUUCCACGUGUAGCAGUGAAAUGCGUAGAGAUGUGGAGGAACACCGAUGGCGAAGGCAGCCCCCUGGGCCGAUACUGACGCUCAUGCACGAAAGCGUGGGUAGCAAACAGG
This 424-nucleotide ribosomal RNA is filed under the name uncultured bacterium. RNAcentral describes it as "partial 16S ribosomal RNA". It matches the Rfam family "Bacterial small subunit ribosomal RNA", at positions 360 to 776 of the family's 1533-position model. The record is from RNAcentral.